RNAcentral lists this ribosomal RNA (419 nucleotides) under uncultured bacterium. Its description in RNAcentral is "bacterial SSU rRNA". It matches the Rfam family "Bacterial small subunit ribosomal RNA", at positions 359 to 772 of the family's 1533-position model. The record is from RNAcentral.
GAAUCUUCGGCAAUGGACGAAAGUCUGACCGAGCAACGCCGCGUGAGUGAUGAAGGUUUUCGGAUCGUAAAGCUCUGUAGCCAGGGAAGAACAGCCUCAUGUUAACUGCAUGAGGUGUGACGGUACCUGAGAAGAAAGCCCCGGGUAACUACGUGCCAGCAGCCGCGGUAAUACGUAGGGGGCAAGCGUUGUCCGGAAUUAUUGGGCGUAAAGCGCGCGCAGGCGGCCAUUUAAGUCUGGUGUUUAAUACAUGGGCUCAACCUAUGUUCGCAUUGGAAACUGGGUGGCUGGAGUGUAGGAGAGGAAAGUGGAAUUCCACGUGUAGCGGUGAAAUGCGUAGAGAUGUGGAGGAACACCAGUGGCGAAGGCGACUUUCUGGCCUAUAACUGACGCUGAGGCGCGAAAGCGUGGGGAGCAAA